UGGCCCGGACGAAGCUGGCGGCGUGCUUACACAUGCAAGUCGAACGGAGGACUAAGAGGAAAGCUUGCGAAUCCUAGUCCCUAGUGGCGGACGGGUGAGUAACACGUGGAUAACCUGCCUGUAAGACCGGGACAACACCUGGAAACGGGUGCUAAUACCGGGUAAGCUCUUUUCGCCGCAUGGUGAGAAGAGGAGAGGGGAAACCCGCUUACAGAUGGAUCCGCGGCCCAUUAGCUAGUUGGCGGUGUAACGGACCACCAAGGCGACGAUGGGUAGCCGGCCUGAGAGGGUGAUCGGCCACACUGGAACUGAGACACGGUCCAGACUCCUACGGGAGGCAGCAGUGGGGAAUCUUCCGCAAUGGGCGAAAGCCUGACGGAGCAACGCCGCGUGAAUGAUGAAGGCCUUCGGGUUGUAAAAUUCUGUCUUUCAGGGGAAAAAAAAAAUGACGGUACCUGAAGAGGAAAGCCCCGGCUAAACUACGUUGCCAGCAGCCGCGGUAAUACGUAGGGGGCGAGCGUUUGUCCGGAAUUUACUGGGGCGUAAAGGGCGCGUAGGCGGUUUAUUAAGUCAAAGGUGAAAAGCUCCCGGCUCAACCGGGGGGAAUGCCUUUUGAAAACUGGGAAGACUUGAGGGCAGGAGAAGGGGAGUGGAAAUUCCCGGUGUAGCGGGUGAAAUGCGUAGAUUAUCGGGAGGAACACCCAGUGGGCGAAGGCGACUCUCUGGCCUGUUACUGACGCUGAGGCGCGAAAGCCGUGGGGGAUCAAACAGGAUUAGAUACCCUGGUAGUCCACGCCGUAAC
Molecule: ribosomal RNA, 802 nt
Filed under: uncultured bacterium
Lineage: Bacteria
Description: bacterial SSU rRNA
Rfam family: Bacterial small subunit ribosomal RNA
Source: RNAcentral